GAUCCUGGCUUAGAACGAACGCUGGCGGCAGGCCUAAGUCAUGCAAGUUGAACGGCUGUAGCAAUACAGCAGUAGCGGACGGGUGAGUAAUGUAUGGGAACGUAUCUCUUAGUGGGGAAUAUUCUUUGGAAACGAAGAGCAAUACCGCAUGAGUCCUACGGGAGAAAGUCGCAAGACGCUGAGAGAGCGGCCCAUAUUGGAUUAGCUAGUUGGUUGGGUAACGGCUGACCAAGGCAACGAUCCAUAGCUGGUCUAAGAGGACGAUCAGCCACAGUUGGGACUGAGACACCGGCCCAGACUCCGUACGGGAGGCAGCAGUCAGGAAUAUUGGACAAGUGGGGGCAACCCUGAUCCAAGCCAUGCCGCGUGAGUGUUAAGGUCUUCGGAUUGUAAAGCUCUUUUGUGUGGGAAAAUGAUGAUGGUACCACAAGAAUAAGCACCGGCUAACUUCGUGCCAGCAGCGGC
RNAcentral lists this ribosomal RNA (465 nucleotides) under uncultured bacterium. RNAcentral describes it as "bacterial SSU rRNA". It matches the Rfam family "Bacterial small subunit ribosomal RNA", at positions 15 to 518 of the family's 1533-position model. The record is from RNAcentral.